Molecule: ribosomal RNA, 440 nt
Filed under: uncultured bacterium
Lineage: Bacteria
Description: partial 16S ribosomal RNA
Rfam family: Bacterial small subunit ribosomal RNA
Source: RNAcentral
CCUACGGGAGGCAGCAGUGGGGGAUAUUGCACAAUGGGGGGAACCCUGAUGCAGCGACGCCGCGUGGGUGAAGAAGCGCCUCGGCGCGUAAAGCCCUGUCAGCAGGGAAGAAAAUGACGGUACCUGCAGAAGAAGCCACGGCUAACUACGUGCCAGCAGCCGCGGUAAUACGUAGGGGGCAAGCGUUAUCCGGAUUUACUGGGUGUAAAGGGAGCGUAGGCGGUGUUGCAAGUCAGAAGUGAAAGCCCGCAGCUCAACUGCGGGACUGCUUUUGAAACUGUAUGACUAGAUUGCAGGAGAGGUAAGUGGAAUUCCUAUUGUAGCGGUGAAAUGCGUAGAUAUUAGGAGGAACACCAGUGGCGAAGGCGGCUUACUGGACUGUAAAUGACGCUGAGGCUCGAAAGCGUGGGGAGCAAACAGGAUUAGAUACCCGAGUAGUC